UACGGGGGGGGCAAGCGUUGUUCGGAAUUACUGGGCGUAAAGGGCUCGUAGGUGGCCAACUAAGUCAGACGUGAAAUCCCUCAGCUUAACUGGGGAACUGCGUCUGAUACUGGAUGGCUUGAGUUUGGGAGAGGGAUGCGGAAUUCCAGGUGUAGCGGUGAAAUGCGUAGAUAUCUGGAGGAACACCGGUGGCAAAGGCGGCAUCCUGGACCAACACUGACACUGAGGAGCGAAAGCCAGGGGAGCAAACGGG
RNAcentral lists this ribosomal RNA (253 nucleotides) under uncultured bacterium. RNAcentral describes it as "partial 16S ribosomal RNA". It matches the Rfam family "Bacterial small subunit ribosomal RNA", at positions 524 to 776 of the family's 1533-position model. The record is from RNAcentral.